GCCGGGGUGGCAGAGCGGUAAUGCGCGGGCCUGGAGAGCCCGUGGCCUUCUUGGCCACCAGGGUUCAAAUCCCUGCCCCGGCGCCA
This 86-nucleotide transfer RNA is filed under the name Methanobacteriota archaeon. Its description in RNAcentral is "Euryarchaeota archaeon (marine metagenome) tRNA-Ser". It matches the Rfam family "tRNA". From Rfam's summary of the family: Transfer RNA (tRNA) molecules are approximately 80 nucleotides in length. Their secondary structure includes four short double-helical elements and three loops (D, anti-codon, and T loops). Further hydrogen bonds mediate the characteristic L-shaped molecular structure. tRNAs have two regions of fundamental functional importance: the anti-codon, which is responsible for specific mRNA codon recognition, and the 3' end, to which the tRNAs corresponding amino acid is attached (by aminoacyl-tRNA synthetases). tRNAs cope with the degeneracy of the genetic code in two manners: having more than one tRNA (with a specific anti-codon) for a particular amino acid; and 'wobble' base-pairing, i.e. permitting non-standard base-pairing at the 3rd anti-codon position. The record is from RNAcentral. Lineage: Archaea; Methanobacteriati; Methanobacteriota. RNAcentral also lists the same sequence under 2 other names.